This 205-nucleotide ribosomal RNA is filed under the name Escherichia coli. Its description in RNAcentral is "partial 23S ribosomal RNA". It matches the Rfam family "Bacterial large subunit ribosomal RNA", at positions 2131 to 2335 of the family's 2925-position model. Lineage: Bacteria; Pseudomonadati; Pseudomonadota; Gammaproteobacteria; Enterobacterales; Enterobacteriaceae. The record is from RNAcentral.
UUGAUGUGUAGGAUAGGUGGGAGGCUUUGAAGUGUGGACGCCAGUCUGCAUGGAGCCGACCUUGAAAUACCACCCUUUAAUGUUUGAUGUUCUAACGUGGACCCGUGAUCCGGGUUGCGGACAGUGUCUGGUGGGUAGUUUGACUGGGGCGGUCUCCUCCUAAAGAGUAACGGAGGAGCACGAAGGUUGGCUAAUCCUGGUCGGA